CAAAGAUGACGAAAAAAAAAGGAAAAG
Molecule: small RNA, 27 nt
Filed under: Arabidopsis thaliana (thale cress)
Lineage: Eukaryota; Viridiplantae; Streptophyta; Magnoliopsida; Brassicales; Brassicaceae
Description: ATSL306430
Source: RNAcentral